RNAcentral lists this ribosomal RNA (255 nucleotides) under uncultured bacterium. RNAcentral describes it as "partial 16S ribosomal RNA". It matches the Rfam family "Bacterial small subunit ribosomal RNA", at positions 524 to 776 of the family's 1533-position model. The record is from RNAcentral.
UACGUAGGGUGCGAGCGUUAAUCGGAAUUACUGGGCGUAAAGCGUGCGCAGGCGGUUAUGUAAGACAGUUGUGAAAUCCCCGGGCUCAACCUGGGAACUGCAUCUGUGACUGCAUAGCUAGAGUACGGUAGAGGGGGAUGGAAUUCCGCGUGUAGCAGUGAAAUGCGUAGAUAUGCGGAGGAACACCGAUGGCGAAGGCAAUCCCCCUGGACCUGUACUGACGCUCAUGCACGAAAGCGUGGGGGAGCAAACAGG